Selaginella moellendorffii is the source of this 1436-nucleotide RNA transcript. It is a transcript of the gene named LRR repeats and ubiquitin-like domain-containing protein At2g30105, with no coding region annotated. The transcript has 10 exons. The record is from RefSeq and is a predicted model, not a curated record. Lineage: Eukaryota; Viridiplantae; Streptophyta; Lycopodiopsida; Selaginellales; Selaginellaceae.
UGUGACAAUGGAAGCGGAGCUGCGAGUGAGCGUCAGGCAUGGGCAGCAAACGCUCGACAUUUCACUACCAUCGUCGGCGCGAGUGAGCGAUCUUAUGGAGCGGCUCCAAGCUCUGACCAAUGUGCUCCCUCGCGGACAGAAGCUCAUCCACAAAGGGAAGAUCUUGACUCCAGACAUGACGCUCGCCAGCGGCUCCAAGAUUAUGAUGAUGGCCACGCAAGGAACACAUCAAGGGUCAGCUCCUGAGAUGAAGAAGCCUAGCGUUUUGCUCAAGUCGAAGCCAGCGGAGAAACCGGCCACAAAGAUCAAACCACCCGAAAGAGUUGAAGUUUGGAAAUCGACUGGGUAUGUCUCAUUACGAGACACUGAAGUGCUGGAAAUUCCAGCCACUGUGUGGGCUCUCGGCCAGUCGAUAAUAAUUUUGGACUUGACGAGCACAAUGCUAAGAACGGUGCCGGCCGAACUUUCAUGUUUGUCAAAACUAAAGAGAUUGUCUUUGUCGGGUAACAGCCUCGAUGAUACUAGCAUUCACUGGAAAAGCUUGUGCUCACUACAGAGCCUUGAGCUUCUUGAACUCACGGCCAACUGCUUGACCAGCUUGCCUUGUGAGAUUCAAGGGCUUUCAUCUCUCAGGCUGCUAAACGUUUCCAGGAACAAACUCACAACGCUGCCAGACGAGAUCGGCAUGCUGUCUCGAUUGGAAAGGCUGAACUUGAGCAAUAACAGCCUACGUGAAAUUCCAUCGUCUAUUGGACACUGUUCUGCUCUUACGAAUGUCUGCAUUUCCUUUUCUGCCUUUCUUUUUCUCUGGAUAACUUAUGACAGGAAACAGCUCAAUCUCUCUUCGAAUUUCCUGACUCUUGUACCACCAUCGAUUAGCGAGCUACGAAAACUCAAGUCCUUACUCGUUGCAAACAACGCUCUGAAGGAGUUUCCAGCGAGCAUUCUCAAGGGGUGUGGUGAACUCAACUCGCUUGAUUUGCACGGGAAUCCCAUCACCAUCGAAGCUCUGAGAGAAAUUGAUGGCUGGGAGGAGUUUGAUGCGAGAAGGAAGGCGAAGUAUGACAAACAGAUGGUGUUUCAAGUAAUGGGGCCAUCGGAUGGAUUUGACGAGGGCGCUGACACUCAAGAAACACGGCACUGGUGAAACGAUCCGGACAAACGAAGCACUCGUGAGCGAAAUGGUUCCUGAUCUUAUUCUCUCACCUGGAGGAACUAACAAGCAUUCUAAACUUGACUUCCAAAAAUUCUCAAGGAGAGUGUUCUCUCAUAGCCAUUCGAUCGGUGUGUAUUUGAAUAGCUUAAACUCGCAAUCGGCGCCACCAGUGACUACUGUGUCCUCCCGCCACCAAUCCGCACAAAGGACCUACAACAAAACGAGAAUGUAAAUUGUUUGAGCACUUGCUCGCAACAAACGAACCUUGUCUUUGUGCGCC